GUGUUAUGGUCACUGGUGACAACGCUGAGCUUCAGCAACAGCGAAGACAAGUGGCUGGGACUCUGCUGCCCCGGGGAAGCAGCGUGUUCCUCAGCAGAGGAAGGAGACAAAUGCCCCAGUAUGUUUUGCCAACAACUUCCACCCAGGAUGGAGCCGAAAUCUUUGUUCAUCGUGGAUUUGUGGAAAAAAUUUCAGCAAGCUCACGCUAAGAAGGUUUAAGACAGAGGUACCUAGAACUGACAGUGGGUUAAUGACGGAUGGACUAAGGUGGCAUUCAGUGGGCCGCCCCGGGUAUUAAAGUGCAGUGGAAACCCCAGAUCCUCGAGUUGAACUCGUUACGGCAUCAAACCAGCCCAGCCGUGGUGCAGCGGGAUGCGACGGGCCCUGGAGAGCUUCCCCGAGGAGAGGCAGGUUCCUGCGCCAGCCUGGCCCCAAUGAGCAGAUGUUCCCUGCAGGUGCCAGAGUGAUGGGAACCGAGAGCCGCUCCUAGCCGAAGCGGGCUCAGCUCCCCCCGCUCAGCAGAUGGUUGAUGCCUUGGUGGCCCGUGCAAGGCAGAAGAGCGAGCCGUCGUUGCCGUGCGGCCGCGGCACACCCAG
Molecule: long non-coding RNA, 596 nt
Organism: Athene cunicularia (burrowing owl)
Lineage: Eukaryota; Metazoa; Chordata; Aves; Strigiformes; Strigidae
Exons: 3
Source: RefSeq, a predicted model, not a curated record